This 255-nucleotide ribosomal RNA is filed under the name uncultured bacterium. RNAcentral's name for it is "partial 16S ribosomal RNA". It matches the Rfam family "Bacterial small subunit ribosomal RNA", at positions 524 to 777 of the family's 1533-position model. The record is from RNAcentral.
UACGGGGGGGGCAAGCGUUGUUCGGAAGUUCUGGGCGUAAAGGGCUCGUAGGCGGCCAACUAAGUCGGAUGUGAAAUCCCCAGGCUUAACCUGGGAACUGCAUCCGAUACUGGAUGGCUUGAAUCCGGGAGAGGGAUGCAGAAUUCCAGGUGUAGCGGUGAAAUGCGUAGAUAUCUGGAGGAAUACCGGUGGCGAAGGCGGCAUCCUGGACCAUAACUGGACGCUGAGGCGCGAAAGCUAGGGGAGCAAACGGGG